Vigna angularis (adzuki bean) is the source of this 524-nucleotide long non-coding RNA. RefSeq lists it as uncharacterized. The transcript is spliced from 3 exons. The record is from RefSeq and is a predicted model, not a curated record. Lineage: Eukaryota; Viridiplantae; Streptophyta; Magnoliopsida; Fabales; Fabaceae.
UAGAGUUUUUCUAACCGCGAUCGUGCUCCCAUUGGAUAACUAGCUGUUCAAUGUUCCGGUGCCUAUAUAAGCUGUGGAACAAAGAGAGAAGAGCGUGGAACAAAGAGGAGAGAAGAGAAGCGAUGAAUAGCAAUGUUCAUGUGGUGACUGUGUUGUGUGUGCUUCUUCCCCAAAAGAAGCAAACCACUCACUUCUCCUCGCGCUGCGUGCGGUGUUGGGAGAAUCCGAAAUCGAAACGGAAAUCCGAAGAAGAUGAAGUUGAAGAUUAACGUCGAUACUCUCAAGGGAUUCACUUCGUUAUUCAAAAUAAGGUAUUAUCAAGUGGAGCCAUCUCUAUCCUCGGACCUGGUUGCUCAGCCUCAAAGUUCUUCAUCAACAUAUGGACCUCUGCAUCCAUUCUUGGACAGUGAGUUCGUAUUUAUAUCCUCCUUUGAAAGCAUGUUUGGAAGAUUUGAGGAAGAAUGAGUUGAAGAAUUUUUUUUGAAGAAAUUGAAGGUAAAAUUUGUGUUAUUUAUUUUAAAGAA